GCUCUUAGUCAUACCACCCUGAACGCACCUGAUCUCGGAAGCUAAGCAGGGUUGGUCUGGUUUGUACUUGGAUGGAAGAAAUAGGCUCUUAAAGAA
Molecule: ribosomal RNA, 96 nt
Filed under: Cricetulus griseus (Chinese hamster)
Lineage: Eukaryota; Metazoa; Chordata; Mammalia; Rodentia; Cricetidae
Source: RNAcentral